Molecule: ribosomal RNA, 497 nt
Filed under: uncultured bacterium
Lineage: Bacteria
Description: partial 16S ribosomal RNA
Rfam family: Bacterial small subunit ribosomal RNA
Source: RNAcentral
GAUGAACGCUGGCGGCGUGCCUAAUACAUGCAAGUCGAGCGAACAGACGAGGAGCUUGCUCCUCUGACGUUAGCGGCGGACGGGUGAGUAACACGUGGAUAACCUACCUAUAAGACUGGGAUAACUUCGGGAAACCGGAGCUAAUACCGGAUAAUAUAUUGAACCGCAUGGUUCAAUAGUGAAAGACGGUUUUGCUGUCACUUAUAGAUGGAUCCGCGCCGCAUUAGAUAGUUGGUAAGGUAACGGCUUACCAAGGCGACGAGGCGUAGCCGACGUGAGAGGGUGAUAGGCCACACUAGAACUGAGACACGCUCCAGACUCCUACGGGAGGCAGCAGUCGGGAAUCUUCCGCAAUGGUCGAAAGCCUGACGGAGCAACGCCGCGUGAGUGAUGAAGGUCUUCGGAUCGUAAAACUCUGUUAUUAGGGAAGAACAAAUGUGUAAGUAACUAUGCACGUCUUGACGGUAACUAAUCAGAAAGCCACGGCUAACUACGUG